CGCUGGCGGCGUGCCUAAUACAUGCAAGUUGAACGCUUGAUUUUCACCGAAGCUUGCUUCACCGAAAAUCAAAGAGUAGCGAACGGGUGAGUAACGCGUGGGGUGACCUACCUAUCAGCGGGGGAUAACUAUUGGAAACGAUAGCUAAUACCGCAUAACAAUGUUGGAUGCAUAUUCGACAUUUGAAAGUACCAACUGGUACACUGAGAGAUGGACCGCGUUGUAUUAGCUAGUUGGUAGUGUAAUGGACUACCAAGGCGAUGAUACAUAGCCGACCUGAGAGGGUGAUCGGCCACAUUGGGACUGAGACACGGCCCAAACUCCUACGGGAGGCAGCAGUAGGGAAUCUUCGGCAAUGGACGAAAGUCUGACCGAGCAACGCCGCGUGAGUGAAGAAGGUUUUCGGAUCGUAAAACUCUGUUGUUAGAGAAGAACGUUGCAUAGAGUGGAAAAUUAUGCAAGUGACGGUAUCUAACCAGAAAGGGACGGCUAACUACGUG
Molecule: ribosomal RNA, 500 nt
Filed under: uncultured bacterium
Lineage: Bacteria
Description: bacterial SSU rRNA
Rfam family: Bacterial small subunit ribosomal RNA
Source: RNAcentral